This is a long non-coding RNA of Vigna angularis (adzuki bean), 2137 nucleotides long. RefSeq lists it as uncharacterized. The record is from RefSeq and is a predicted model, not a curated record. The transcript has 2 exons. Lineage: Eukaryota; Viridiplantae; Streptophyta; Magnoliopsida; Fabales; Fabaceae.
UCUAUUAUUUGGUGCAGAUCGAAUUGAUAUAGGUGGUAUACUACCAAUUGAAGACAUUGCUAUGGAGUUGAGGAUCACUUGUCUGAUGCGGAGGUUUCAAACGAUUUUUUUAAACCACUUGUUGGAUCCUCUCAAAAGGAGAGAAGUCAUCCCCUUUGAAAGAAGGUAAUUCUGAAGACCCUGAAGAAUGCAAUUCUGUAAAUACAUCAAAUUCUGAACCUAAAUCUUCAAAAUCAGCAAAGAGAAAUAAAUAGAAACAUGAUGAAGUUAAGAAGUUGAUUGGUAUGUGUGAGGAACUGAAUGACUGAUUUCAAGUUGGAAAGGAAGGAUGCCCCCUGAGAAGAAAUAUCUCAGAAUUUGUUGUCUGAUGAGAUCAGCAGAAGUCCUGGGCAGUGUAAAUCUCUGUGGACAUCUUUGUUACAGAAAUACGAGAUUAUUGGUAUGUUUGGAAGAGGAUCAAAUUAUCAAGGAGUUGGAACCCGGUGAAGAACAACAAAAGCACCAAACUAGAAGGCUAAAGAAGGCACAACGCCUGGGCGCCCACUCAAGGGGCGCUGUUAAACAUAAUGAAAAUUAUAUAUGAGAUUAAUCUUCCUUGUGUUAAACACACAUAGGGUUCUCUAUUUAUAAUAGAAAAAAAUAUGGGAUAAGCCCAAAAUACAAAUAAUAAAUAAUAACAAACUAACUGAAAGAUAAACUGAAAGAUAAAAGAUAUAAUAUUUCUAACACUCCCCCUCAAGCUGGAGCAUACAAAUUGUAUGAACCAAGCUUGAAAUAACUAAACUAGGUUUUGAACUAGAUGAUUUUUCUUCAAGAGUGAGACAAUAAACACUUCAACUUCAACUUCAAAAGUGUGAACCAAGCUUGUGAAACUUCAACUUCAAAAGUGUACGAAGGAGAGCAGCAGAGAAGGAGAGCAGCAGAGAAGGAGAGCAGCAGAGAAGGAGAGCAGCAGAGAAGGAGGCAAUAAACACUUUAACUUCAAAAGUGGAUGAAGGAGAGCAGCGGAGAAGGAGGCAAUAAACACUUUAACUUCAAAAGUGGAUGAAGGAGAGCAAUAAGCGCAACAAUCUGUGCGGCAAAUACAAUAAGAAAGGAAGAACAAGGCAAGACAACAAUACAGAGGCGAAACCCUCUACGGCAAAUUACGCAGAAAGAAGAAGGAGGUUCGAAGAUACAGAAGCAUGCGGCGAGAAGAAGACAGAUUUCGAUGGCAGCAAUGGCUGGAAGGUCUAAACAGAGAGAGGGAGGUCCGGUGAUUCAGAGGAGGCAGUGGUUCCCAGGAGACUUGUCUCUGAUUCUGGGUGCUGAGAUUUAAGAAGAAGAGAAAAUGAAUCUUACAAAAUUUUUAGGGGCUGCCGGCGGCCAUGACGGCCGGCCACCGGCAGACAGUAAAGACCACCGGAAGAGAUCAGAAAACCUGCUCUGAUACCAUGUUAAACAUAAUGAAAAUUAUAUAUGAGAUUAAUCUUCCUUGUGUUAAACACACAUAGGGUUCUCUAUUUAUAAUAGAAAAAAAUAUGGGAUAAGCCCAAAAUACAAAUAAUAAAUAAUAACAAACUAAUUGAAAGAUAAACUGAAAGAUAAAAGAUAUAAUAUUUCUAACAGGCGCUGAGGGGCAAUUGUCACGUAAGGACCCCUGGGCGCCCUCUUAUGGGGCGCUGAGCACCACUCACCACGUAUGGACGCCUGAGCGCCACCUCUAGGGGCGUUGAGCGCCAUUCACCACACAAGGACACCUGAGCGCCACCUCUAGGGGCGUUGAGCGCCAUUCAUCACGCAACCACGCCUGGGCGCCCCAGUUAGGGCGAUGAGUGUCAGUCACUUUUGCCGACAUGGAACUCUUGACCUAUUUAAAGGCUUUUACGUGAUAAGGUGGAUCUCUUUUAACGGCUGAAGCACAUAAACCCUAAUUUCGACCUCUUGGAGCAAGAUUGGGCGUGUGGGAACUCUCCCUUUCUUUUCCUUGGGUUUUCAUUUCUUCCACAUUCUUCCAUUGUAAGCCAAGGUUUUCCAUGACAAUGGAGAGCUAAAUUCAUUUGUUGUUGGGGAAAGAUGUAACCUCUUAACUUCAUGUAUUUGAACAUGUUUUGAAUAUAUUAAGCUUCUUUUAUUGAAUGUUAGUAAUUUUCUCUUA